CGGGGUGUAGCGCAGCCUGGAAGCGCAAUUGCUUUGGGAGCAAUGGGUCGCAGGUUCGAAUCCUGUCACCCCGA
Molecule: transfer RNA, 74 nt
Filed under: Planctomycetia bacterium
Lineage: Bacteria; Pseudomonadati; Planctomycetota; Planctomycetia
Description: tRNA-Pro
Rfam family: tRNA
About the family: Transfer RNA (tRNA) molecules are approximately 80 nucleotides in length. Their secondary structure includes four short double-helical elements and three loops (D, anti-codon, and T loops).
Source: RNAcentral